This 472-nucleotide ribosomal RNA is filed under the name uncultured Glomus. Its description in RNAcentral is "SSU rRNA". It matches the Rfam family "Eukaryotic small subunit ribosomal RNA", at positions 569 to 1046 of the family's 1831-position model. Lineage: Eukaryota; Fungi; Glomeromycota; Glomeromycetes; Glomerales; Glomeraceae. The record is from RNAcentral.
AGCAGCCGCGGUAAUUCCAGCUCCAAUAGCGUAUAUUAAAGUUGUUGCAGUUAAAAAGCUCGUAGUUGAAUUUCGGGAUCAAUGCGUCGGUCGUGCCUUCGGUACGUACUAGCGUCAUUGAUUCCUCCCUUCUGAAGAACCGUGAUGUCAUUAAUUUGGUGUUACGGGGAAUCAGGACUGUUACCUUGAAAAAUUAGAGUGUUUAAAGCAGGCUAACGCUUGAAUACAUUAGCAUGGAAUAAUGAAAUAGGACGUUCGAACCUAUUUUGUUGGUUUCUAGGAUCGACGUAAUGAUUAAUAGGGAUAGUUGGGGGCAUUAGUAUUCAAUUGUCAGAGGUGAAAUUCUUGGAUUUAUUGAAGACUAACUACUGCGAAAGCAUUUGCCAAGGAUGUUUUCAUUAAUCAAGAACGAAAGUUAGGGGAUCGAAGACGAUCAGAUACCGUCGCAGUCUUAACCAUAAACUAUGCCGAC